This 552-nucleotide ribosomal RNA is filed under the name uncultured archaeon. RNAcentral describes it as "bacterial SSU rRNA". It matches the Rfam family "Archaeal small subunit ribosomal RNA", at positions 325 to 879 of the family's 1478-position model. The record is from RNAcentral.
ACGGGGUGCAGCAGGCGCGAAAACUUUGCAAUACACGAAAGUGUGACAGGGCUAUCCCGAGUGCCAUCCGCUGAGGAAGGCUUUUACCCAGUUUAGAACGCUGGGAGAAUAAGGAGAGGGCAAGACUGGUGUCAGCCGCCGCGGUAAUACCAGCUCUCCGAGUGGUGUGGAUGUUUAUUGGGCCUAAAGCAUCCGUAGCUGGCUGGGCAAGUCCCCUGUUAAAUCCACCGAUUUAAUCGUUGGAGUGCGGGGGAUACUGCUCGGCUAGGGGACGGGAGAGGCAGACGGUAUUUUCGGGGUAGGGGUGAAAUCCUAUAAUCCCGGGAAGACCACCAGUGGCGAAGGCUGUCUGCUAGAACGCGCCCGACGGUGAGGGAUGAAAGCUGGGGUAGCGAACCGGAUUAGAUACCCGGGUAGUCCCAGCCGUAAACGAUGCAGGCUAGGUGUUUGGGCGGCCACGUGCCGCUCUAGUGCCGCAGGGAAGCCGUUAAGCCUGCCGCCUGGGGAGUACGGCCGCAAGAUUGAAACUUAAAGGAAUUGGCGGGGGAGCAC